GGGUUCAAGUCCCUCUAUCCCCA
This 23-nucleotide transfer RNA is filed under the name Vincetoxicum indicum. Its description in RNAcentral is "partial tRNA-Leu". RNAcentral also lists the same sequence under 19 other names. Lineage: Eukaryota; Viridiplantae; Streptophyta; Magnoliopsida; Gentianales; Apocynaceae. The record is from RNAcentral.